This is a long non-coding RNA of Artibeus jamaicensis (Jamaican fruit-eating bat), 3407 nucleotides long. RefSeq lists it as uncharacterized. The transcript has 3 exons. NCBI's taxonomy places the organism in Eukaryota, Metazoa, Chordata, Mammalia, Chiroptera, Phyllostomidae. The record is from RefSeq and is a predicted model, not a curated record.
UCCGGAGGCUGCAGAGGAGAGGAGGGGUGGGUGUUGAGGGGCUGCCGAGAAGGGGAACCGGUGGGCAAGGGGCUGAGCGGGAGACUUACCCAGGAGCAGGAACAGCGGCAGAGCCUGUGAGGUGUCCAUGGUGCUGGCCGCACCCUGGAAGAGGACACUGGAGUGAGACUCGGGGCAAGCCCAACAGGACUGGUAGCUUCCUGGGCGGGGAAGGGAGCCAGACCCAGUGGGAGGCACCAGGAUCCCUCACCCCAAUCUGGUGGCUGACCCACCCACCCCACCCCACUGGUCCUCAUUAGUGACUGUCAUCUAAGGGGAGAUCCAGCCUGACCCCUGUCCCCAGACCCCCAGGGGAGAGAGAAUGAGAGCUAAGUCCCAGCUGAAAGUGUGGGAGCAAAGCCAGGAGGACUUCCUGGGAAAGGGUGAGGUGACCUUUCAGAGAGCCCCACUUUUGAUGGCCGUGCCCUCAGCUCAGGCUUUCUCCUCCCCAGGGUCCACUCUGUCCUGCCUGCUGCAGCCUCAAUAAACGCACAUCUGGCCCUGAUCCUUCUCUGCUCCAGGCCCUCCACUGAUUUCCUGUUGCCCUCAGGACCCAGUUUUGGGUGGCUAUCCCCUACCUAGUCAUCUCUUCUGAGACCCAGAACUGCAUCGUCAAGUCCCCCAGAGCCUCCAUCAUGUGCGUGCCACUAAACUUAGCAUCUUCCCUCUAAUCUGACCCUCCUGGAUUCUUCAUCUUGACUACAGUUCCUCCAUUCGUGCAGGGGCUGCGGAGCCUUCCACCCUCCUCUGUCCUCCUCACUGCUGUGAAUCUCUGAAUCCCACCCCUCCUGCCUCCUGCAUCUCUGUUUCACUUCUUUGAGUCUGUUCCCACUGGCCAGGCCCCAGCAUAAGCCUCGUCCUCUGCCCCUGUCCCCUUGUUUAGCUUUCUAUCUUCAGCCUCAUCUCCUACAGUCUGUGGAUCCCCACGUAGCCCUGAGUCUACAUCCAGAGCUGCCCCUUCUUGCCAUAGCUCCUCAGGAGAUAUCCAAGGAAUUUCCAGAGCUUGUCUAACCUAGAUCCAUGCACUCCACCCACUUCCUCCUCCCUCCAGCACUUAUUCUAUGAACACCCUGCUAUUCUUAGGCCUGUCUCUCCCCUUCCAGAUUUGCAGACAGUUUCCUUUGCCUGGAAUGCUCUUCUUUGCUCCCCGCCCUCUUCCAACCUGACUAAACCACAACUUGUCCUUCAGGUCUCUUAUUAUGAACCAAAAUAAUAAUUGCCACUUGCCACGCACCAGGAACCAUGCAAAAAAUGUUCCCCAGACACUAUGGGCUGAACCCUUCCAAACGCCCCAUGAGCUGGGUGUUUACCAUCCCAGGGACUAUGGCUCAGAGAAGGACCUGCUAGAGGUUGCACAGCCAGAGGGAGACGCUGGGUGGUCCAGCCAAGGAUGGUCAGGCUGCUCACUCUUGAAAGUUUUUCCUACCAUCCCAUGGUGGUCUAAGCAGGUCCCAGGUCUUCGAGCUUACUCAGGUAGUCUUGCUACGCAGGUAAUAGUAAUGAUGAUGCUACAUAGUGAGCAUUUUCUGCAUGUGGAGUGGUUCUGAAGGUACCACAUUAACCCUUUAAAUCCCAUGGGGGUAGGUUUGAUAGUUUAAAAAAAUGGCUGCUAUUAUGACUUUCUCUCACUAAGGAAUAUGGUCUCUGUCCCCUCCCCUGGCACCUGUAUAGGCUCUGUGACCUCUAGACCAAGAGACUACAGUGGAAGUGACCCCGCGUGUCUACACCUAGGCCUCAAGGGACUGGCAUAGUCCAUUUCCUGUAUCAAGGAACACUCCCGCCAUGCUGUGAGGAAGCUCAGGCAGCUCCUUGGAGAGUUGUGGCCCCCUAGUCAACAGCCAGCUCAAGCCCACAGCCCCAGUCAGCUUGCAAGCACACAAGGGGGCCAUCUUGGACAUCAAUCCUCUAGACCUAUUUCAGCCAUGGAAGUGAGGCAUGCUGUUUCGGCCAAGCUCAAAUCUCAGAUUUAUGAGCAAAAUAAAUGAUUAUUGGGCCAAGCCACUAAGCAGCAGAUGACCAGAUCACAGGCAGUUACUAACUGCACCCAGUGGGGGAAGGAAACUCAGGCUUAGAGAGUAGAAAGUUGUCAAAGGUCCUCCUGACGAUAGGGAUCGGUCAGGAUCCAGACCCCAGGCCCAUAACCACUACACUGAGCUCCUACUGGUUCCAUAAGCCAAGUGAGGAAACUGAAGCUCAGAGAUGGGGAGUUAUUCACUCAACACCUCGCAGUUGGUAAAUUCGAGAGCAAGUCUGAAAUCAUUAAGUCUGACGCCAGGUCCUGGCUCUUUGUCCUGCACUAGGUUUUGAUCGUCUCUUGCCUGUCUCCCCAACCAGAAUCAGAGCUUCCAGCCUCCUUCCCUCCUGCACCCCAAGUCUCAGCAGGUGCCUGGCACCCAGGAGUCCCCAGCAGCAAGCAUAUUGCACGUGAAAGCUCUUCUGUGCCCCCCUCCCAUGACCUCACUGAUACUUGUCUUUGGAGACUCAACUUAGAUGCCACCAUACUGGGAAGUGUCUUUGACCCCACAGGCCUGCUCAGGUGUCCCAUGUGGGCUCCCAGUACCCAAUGCUGCCUCACGCACAGGACACAGCACCCCACCUCACGGCUGCCUUUGCCCAGGUCCAUUGGCCCUUCAACGUGGAAGCUUCUCAAGGGCAGGGAAUGGAUGUGACUCACCUGGAUCUCCAGCGUUGCCCAGCACAGGGCCUGGCAGGACUGCCACGGGCCGAGACGGGGAAUCUGGAGCUUGGAUGGGACAUGAGCAUCUCACAGAAGACAGAGAGGAAGAGGAGAAACAUCCAUCGUUUGCCUCCUGUUUGCACUCUGACCAGGGAAUCAAACCCACAACCUUUUGGUGUAUGGGAUGACGAUCUAACCAACUAAGCCACCUGGCCAGGGCUAAUAAGUUCGCUUUUGGUUAAGCCGGUGUGAGCUGCGAUUCUGCCACCUACAACAAAGAGCAUCCUGACCAGUGUCCCUGGCAUCACCGCUGCCAGAGGCCCAGGCCCCAGGAACUGGCCCCUGACAACCAGGAUGAGCAGAACGUCAGAGUCUGAGACCCACCAGCAAACGCGGGAAGCGUCAACAGGCCGUGCUGCCGGCACCUGUUACCUGGGGAGCCGGUGUGGCACCUGUGCCCGCCCAGCCCCGCCCCUGCCCUGUUGGCCUCCUCUCUGGUGAGAGCCUCUGCUUCGGUUUUCACAGUUGUGUUCUGGCUGCCCAGCUGUCCUCUCCGUUUUCUGCUGCCUGACAUGGGCGGGACACCCAGCGACGCAGGUGGACCCAUGAGUUUCCCCCGCUCCCCUGGGGCUGAGCCUGCCCUGUAGAAUCUCUCCCUGCUGGGGCCCCAGCUCCAUCUCUGAGUCUCCCG